Molecule: unclassified non-coding RNA, 147 nt
Filed under: Gorgomyces hungaricus
Lineage: Eukaryota; Fungi; Ascomycota; Leotiomycetes; Leotiales; Leotiaceae
Description: partial internal transcribed spacer 2
Source: RNAcentral
CAACCCUCAAGCCCAGCUUGGUGUUAAGCCUCACCCGUCAGGGCGGGCUGCAAAAUCAGUGGCGGUGCCAUUCGGCUUCAAGCGUAGUAAUUCUUCUCGCUUUGGAGGACCGGGUGCGUGCCUGCCAGCAACCCCAAUUUUAUCAAA